AUUGAACGCUGGCGGAAUGCUUUACACAUGCAAGUCGAACGGCAGCACGGACUUCGGUCUGGUGGCGAGUGGCGAACGGGUGAGUAAUGUAUCGGAACGUGCCCAGUCGUGGGGGAUAACGUAGUGAAAACUACGCUAAUACCGCAUACGAUCUAUGGAUGAAAGCGGGGGAUCGCAAGACCUCGCGCGUUUGGCGCGGCCGAUAUCAGAUUAGGUAGUUGGUGGGGUAAAGGCCCACACAGCCAACGAUCUGUAGCUGGUCUGAGAGGACGACCAGCCACACUGGAACUGAGACACGGUCCAGACUCCUACGGGAGGCAGCAGUGGGGAAUUUUGGACAAUGGGCGAAAGCCUGAUCCAGCCAUUCCGCGUGCAGGAUGAAGGCCCUCGGGUUGUAAACUGCUUUUGUACAGAACGAAAAGGUUUCUACUAAUACUAGGAGCUCAUGACGGUACUGUAAGAAUGAGCACCGGCUAACUACGUGCCAGCCGCCGCGGUAA
Molecule: ribosomal RNA, 500 nt
Filed under: uncultured bacterium
Lineage: Bacteria
Description: partial 16S ribosomal RNA
Rfam family: Bacterial small subunit ribosomal RNA
Source: RNAcentral